UACGUAGGGUCCGAGCGUUGUCCGGAAUUACUGGGCGUAAAGAGCUCGUAGGUGGUUUGUCGCGUUGUUCGUGAAAACUCACAGCUCAACUGUGGGCGUGCGGGCGAUACGGGCAGACUGGAGUACUGCAGGGGAGACUGGAAUUCCUGGUGUAGCGGUGGAAUGCGCAGAUAUCAGGAGGAACACCGGUGGCGAAGGCGGGUCUCUGGGCAGUAACUGACGCUGAGGAGCGAAAGCGUGGGGAGCCAAAGGG
RNAcentral lists this ribosomal RNA (253 nucleotides) under uncultured bacterium. RNAcentral describes it as "partial 16S ribosomal RNA". It matches the Rfam family "Bacterial small subunit ribosomal RNA", at positions 524 to 776 of the family's 1533-position model. The record is from RNAcentral.